Molecule: non-coding RNA, 73 nt
Organism: Potamilus streckersoni
Lineage: Eukaryota; Metazoa; Mollusca; Bivalvia; Unionida; Unionidae
Source: the annotation of a GenBank genome assembly
GCUCUGGUGGACUAGUGGUUAAAGCGUCCGCCUCAGAUGCGGGAGAUUGCGGGUUAGAACCCUCACCAGGUCA